Non-coding RNA from Anas platyrhynchos (mallard), 2581 nucleotides. NCBI's taxonomy places the organism in Eukaryota, Metazoa, Chordata, Aves, Anseriformes, Anatidae. The record is from RefSeq and is a predicted model, not a curated record.
AGCCAAGUCAAAGCCCCAGGCCAGGGGCAGGACUCACACGGAUUUCAGCAGGCUUUGGACCCUAGACUCUUGGAACGAGUUUCAAAUUCCAGCAGCUUUUUUUGUUUAUCCAAGGGAGAUAAACUAAGUGGCCUGCUGAAUACCCCGUGGGCUUUCAGACGUGAUCUGGGAAACAACAGGUCUUUGCUCAGAAGGGACGUGAGACGUCCAGUGACACUUUCCAUGAGAACCAAGAUAAAAGAGGACCUUUUCCUUCCCUCCCGAACACUGCUGCCUGACAAGGACUGCCUGGUUCCUGCCUUUCAGCACUGCCACGAAGAGCAAGCGCAGAGCACCCAGAAGCGAACCAGGGAUGGAGCACAGGGGGCUGGGAGCCAUUUGCUAUGCCGCUCUUCCAGGGAAAGCUCAAAAUCCUUCAACAAAAGGAAGUACACACAAUCUGGGUAAGCAUGGCAGCUUUGGGGUGGGUUAUUAGCUAGCAGAGGCUCCUUUUCCAAGGUGACAGGGCUAUUCUGGAGAAUACAGAGGCAGAAAGGGGCCAGCAGAGGCUGGUCUGAAAGUGCCUCCCCCUCUGGCAUGCUGCAGGAUGAAGCAGGGUGCUGGGCAACCUGCAACACCUGUGCACACCCUCCCUAGGAUCCUGGUGCGUGGUAGCUCACAGCAGCCACAGGGAGGAGGGCUAGGUUUUUCACAACCAACUGUAUGGGUAAUGAAAACUUGUUCUUGAAUGAGAACAAAUGUAGAUCUUGCUUUCUUGGUGAGGUUUGGGUUUUUAUUUUUACAGGUUCCAUAAUAUUUUGGCAAAAAAAAAAAAAAAAAGCUAAUAUUAGUUAAAUACUUCAAUGUGUUUCAUAUCCAAAGAUUUUCCUUGCCAAAACAUACUCUCAUGUAAUUGCAAGUGGCUUUAUUUGUGCUGCAUAACACUGCAAGAUAACAGAGAGCUCCAAACAAGACAGCCUGGGCAUUAAGCUACCAUGCAAGAGAUUGGGGAUCUCAGCAUUGCAGCAAAACUCCUCAGAGAACAUCUCAUUGGAAGCAUCUCUAUGACAACUCCCCAUCAGCGAUGAGAACGGCAGUGGUCAUUUAUGUUGUCUGCUAAUAUGCUGGGUCAACAACAGGACAUUUUUCUCAUGCAAGUUUCAACUGCUAACACCAGAAAAAUGAUCCAUCCCACUGUCUGAUAAGCAACAAUAUAACUCACUUGGAAAGACCGUAAUCACUUCAGGGUGGCAGGACUACAUACAUCACUCCUCCAGGACAGCUAUCAUCAAGGCAUCAAAGGACACGUUCCCUCACCUGGACUGCCUGGCCAGAUGAGCCAUGUUCGAGACCAGGCGAUUGCCUGCUCUGGAGAGCAGAUCUGCACCUAGAUGAAGACAUAACUCUGCAGCAGAGAUCACUGGGUGCUUUCCUCAGAGGUGCUCAAGCCAAGUACUACUCAAGAGAGGCUGGUACCACAGAUGGUGAAUGCAUGUUUAGAAGCCCACAACCUUCCCAGCAAACAGGAUUCAUUGUUUGUAUAUGACGCAGAUGCACUGGAGAAUACAAGUGGAGAACCUCUGAAAGGUAUCUGACGAGAAUUACCUUAGAGAGUGGAUGAAUCAUCUUUCAGUACCUAUUAUCUCAACUGCGGUUCUGUUCACAAAAAGCAAGUGAACCAUAGCCAACAUGACACUUCAUGCGUAUCGCACUCCUUCGUUUCAGAUCUCACUUGCACUCAGCAUUUAUAAAGAAGCUUAGGUUUUCCAGACAAUCAGUGCCACACUGUCAGUGCAAAAGCCAUACCACAUCCUUACUUGCGUACACACCGGGGCUCAUUACCAACAGCUCUGGUACUUAAUGCCAGUAACUAUUUUACUGGACCCUGUUGCACCAGUUAUGCACAAAAACAUCUGUAUGUGCAUUCUGAGCUGGCAUGCUGCACAUGAUGCUCACCAUACGCUAGAACUGCUGUAGAAGAUUUGGUAGGAGACCAAAUCCUAGAGACAUAAGCUCUUCAAGGAGCCUUGAGGGAAUGUUAGAACACAUCCUCACAACCCUCUAAUGAAAAUUAACAGCAAAAACCUGCUGAGACCAGCAUUACCAAGCACUGAGUAGGCCUGGCACUCUGUUCUGCAGCAGUUAUUUCCCUACAAACAGCAGGUUUGUAGUGUCCGGUACUGUGUGUGUGACACACCACACACAACACUUUCACCUGAAGGCUCAGUACCGGACAGUGCUGGUAUCCAGAUGCAGUGAGGCAUUUAUUCAGUCUCCAGUGACUUAAGAGUUUCAUUUCUGAUCAUCCUUCUCAAAUCAAACACAGCAACACACAAACUUUAAUUAAAUAAUUCAGGAUUGUAGUCAUCUAUCCACUUAUACUCUGCAGACACAUCAGCAUGCAUUCAAUACGCUUUCCUAGUAAAUUAUAUCGCUGAAAAUAAGAGCUUCUCCAGUUUCAGAAGGCUGCUAUUAAACAUGGCCAAGGGGACUCUGCAUCCUCUGACAAAGCAGUUCUAGCUCUGGAAUCAUCUCUAACAAAGGAGGGAUAAACAUGUAACUAAUUAUUUUCCUGUAAGUCAGUACCAUAAAAUUGAUUAGA